GCAUAUCAAUAAGCGGAGGAAAAGAAGCUAACAAGGAUUCCCCUAGUAACGGCGAGUGAAGCGGGAACAGCUCAAAUUUUAAAUCUGGCUGCUUCGCAGUCCGAGUUGUAAUUUGAAGGCGUCUGUCGCAUGUGAGACGAUGGCACAAGUCCUCUGGAACGUGGCAUCGUAGAGGGUGAGGAUCCCGUCUCUGGUCGUUGUCUUGCAGGCACACGGCAGGCGAUCCGAAGAGUCGAGUUGUUUGGGAUUGCAGCUCCAAAUGGGUGGUAAACUCCAUCUAAGGCUAAAUAUUGGCGAGAGACCGAUAGCGAACAAGUACCGUGAGGGAAAGAUGAAAAGAACUUUGAAAAGAGAGUAAAACAGUACGUGAAAUUGUUGAAAGGGAAACGCUUGAAGUCAGUCGUGCCGGCGGGGAUUCAGCGAACUUCGCGGAGUGAGCGUAUUUCCUCGCAUGGCAGGUCAGCGUCAGUUUUGCGCGUCGUGAAAGGGCUCGGGUAAGGUGACUCUCUUCGGGGAGUGUUAUAGGCCUGAGCAGAUGCGAUGCGCGGGACUGAGGAUUGCAGCGGACACCCUUCGGGGCGCGGCGACCGAUCCCUGCUCUGUCACCUUCGUCCGAUAGCGUGCUAACGGUCGGAGGAGCGGCGGUUGCACCGGGUUGGCAAGCCGGCGGCUUCGCUAAGGAUGCUGACGUAAUGGCUUUAAACGAC
RNAcentral lists this ribosomal RNA (707 nucleotides) under uncultured Paraglomus. Its description in RNAcentral is "eukaryotic LSU rRNA". It matches the Rfam family "Eukaryotic large subunit ribosomal RNA", at positions 38 to 648 of the family's 3401-position model. Lineage: Eukaryota; Fungi; Glomeromycota; Glomeromycetes; Paraglomerales; Paraglomeraceae. The record is from RNAcentral.